Molecule: long non-coding RNA, 632 nt
Filed under: Ananas comosus (pineapple)
Lineage: Eukaryota; Viridiplantae; Streptophyta; Magnoliopsida; Poales; Bromeliaceae
Description: long non-coding RNA (ACOM_LNC006511)
Source: RNAcentral
UCUUCAUCUUCUAACCCCAUGGCUUCGUUUGGUUCGGAUAUAAGUAAGAACUAGCUAUUACAAAGAUAGGUAUAAGUAUGAAGAUAAAAAAAAUAGUAUUUGGAUAAAAAUUGAGUUAUUUAUGGGGAUAAAAAAAAUAAUAUUUGAAUAGAUAAUAUGGAAUAAGAAAAAUAGUGGGUACGUAAUUAUAUAUAGAAAAUGGAGAUGUUGGUGGGAAUAGUUAUACCAACUUAUUUCAGAUACUCGAGAACUAUUAUUUUCGAGUAAAAAAUUUCUGUUUGGGUAUAAAAGAGGAUAAGGGAUUAUCCCUCCCCUUAUUCCUAAUCCAAACAGAACUCGGAAGUAAGUAAAACUUUAGCUUUUGAUUAUAAGUUCUAACUACGAAGUUAAGAUAUAGUUUAUUCUAACAGUGGAUGUGUUUGAUUCGAAAUCGAAAUUGGUAUCGAAAUCGGAAUGAUAAUAAACUAAUUAGCCAAAAAUGUGAAUAAUUAAGCUUCAAACUUGGGAUCUCGAUGACCAACUAUUAAGCCCUUUAUCACUUGCGCUAGAGACCUCGAAUAUCAACCACCAAGCAAUAUAAAAUAAUAAUAAUAACUGGCAUUUAAUUAACAUUGCCAAAUAGGUAUAACCAA